UACGUAGGUGGCAAGCGUUGUCCGGAAUGACUGGGCGUAAAGGGAGCGUAGGUGGCUGUUUAAGUUAAAUGUGAAAGACCGGGGCUCAACUCCGGAACUGCAUUUAAUACUGGACAGCUAGAGUACAGGAGGGGUAAGCGGAAUUCCUAGUGUAGCGGUUAAAUGCGUAGAUAUUAGGAGGAACACCAGAGGCGAAGGCGGCUUACUGGACUGCAACUGACACUGAGGCUCGAAAGCGUGGGGAUCAAAC
This 250-nucleotide ribosomal RNA is filed under the name uncultured prokaryote. RNAcentral describes it as "partial 16S ribosomal RNA". It matches the Rfam family "Bacterial small subunit ribosomal RNA", at positions 524 to 773 of the family's 1533-position model. The record is from RNAcentral.